This 329-nucleotide ribosomal RNA is filed under the name uncultured Dyadobacter sp. RNAcentral describes it as "bacterial SSU rRNA". It matches the Rfam family "Bacterial small subunit ribosomal RNA", at positions 568 to 898 of the family's 1533-position model. The record is from RNAcentral. Lineage: Bacteria; Pseudomonadati; Bacteroidota; Cytophagia; Cytophagales; Spirosomataceae.
UGCGUAGGUGGCUUUUUAAGUCAGUGGUGAAAUACAGCCGCUCAACGGUUGAGGUGCCAUUGAUACUGAAGAGCUUGAAACAAGUGGAGGCUGCCGGAAUGGAUGGUGUAGCGGUGAAAUGCAUAGAUAUCAUCCAGAACACCGAUUGCGAAGGCAGGUGGCUACGUUUGAUUUGACACUGAGGCACGAAAGCAUGGGGAGCAAACAGGAUUAGAUACCCUGGUAGUCCAUGCCGUAAACGAUGAGGACUCGCUGUUGGGCUGUCAAGGUUCAGCGGCUUAGGGAAACCGUUAAGUCCUCCACCUGGGGAGUACGCCGGCAACGGUGAA